GACGAACCGUGCGAGCGUUGUUCGGAUUCACUGGGCGUAAAGGGUGCGUAGGUGGGGGGGUAGGUCGGUUGUGAAAGCUCGGAGCUCAACUCCGAAAUGGCAUUGGAAACUACCCUGCUUGAGGGUCGGAGGGGGGACUGGAGUUCUCGGUGUAGCAGUGAAAUGCGUAGAUAUCGAGAGGAACACCAGUGGCGAAGGCGAGUCCCUGGACGACUCCUGACACUGAGGCACGAAAGCUAGGGGAGCAAACAGG
RNAcentral lists this ribosomal RNA (253 nucleotides) under uncultured bacterium. RNAcentral describes it as "partial 16S ribosomal RNA". It matches the Rfam family "Bacterial small subunit ribosomal RNA", at positions 524 to 776 of the family's 1533-position model. The record is from RNAcentral.